RNAcentral lists this ribosomal RNA (430 nucleotides) under Mycoplasmopsis pullorum. RNAcentral's name for it is "bacterial SSU rRNA". It matches the Rfam family "Bacterial small subunit ribosomal RNA", at positions 223 to 646 of the family's 1533-position model. The record is from RNAcentral. Lineage: Bacteria; Bacillati; Mycoplasmatota; Mycoplasmoidales; Metamycoplasmataceae.
GGAUCGGGGUGCGUAACAUUAGCUUGUUGGUGAGGUAAAGGCUCACCAAGGCGAUGAUGUUUAGCGGGGUUGAGAGGCUGAUCCGCCACACUGGGACUGAGAUACGGCCCAGACUCCUACGGGAGGCAGCAGUAGGGAUUUUUCCACAAUGGACGAACGUCUGAUGGAGCGACCCAGCGUGCAGGAUGACGGCCUUCGGGUUGUAAACUGCUGUUAUAAGGGAAGAAAAAAUCAUAGAGGAAAUGCUAUGAUCUUGACGGUACCUUGUCAGAAAGCAACGGCUAACUAUGUGCCAGCAGCCGCGGUAAUACAUAGGUUGCAAGCGUUAUCCGGAAUUAUUGGGCGUAAAGCGGCUGUAGGUUGUUUGUUAAGUCUGGGGUGAAAACUUGGGGCUCAACCCCAAAUUGCAUUGGAUACUGGCAAACUAGAG